This 432-nucleotide ribosomal RNA is filed under the name uncultured bacterium. RNAcentral's name for it is "partial 16S ribosomal RNA". It matches the Rfam family "Bacterial small subunit ribosomal RNA", at positions 29 to 507 of the family's 1533-position model. The record is from RNAcentral.
AACGAACGCUGGCGGCAUGCCUAACACAUGCAAGUCGAACGAUGCUUUCGGGCAUAGUGGCGCACGGGUGCGUAACGCGUGGGAAUCUGCCCUUGGGUUCGGAAUAACAGUGAGAAAUUGCUGCUAAUACCGGAUGAUGUCUUCGGACCAAAGAUUUAUCGCCCAGGGAUGAGCCCGCGUAGGAUUAGCUAGUUGGUGGGGUAAUGGCCUACCAAGGCGACGAUCCUUAGCUGGUCUGAGAGGAUGAUCAGCCACACUGGGACUGAGACACGGCCCAGACCCCUCGGGAGGGAGGAGUGGGGAAUAAUUGAACAUUGGGCGCAAGCUUGACCAGGCAAGGCCGGGGAGGUAAGAAAGGCCUUGGGGUGGUAAGCCUCUUUUACCCGGAAUGUUAAGGACGGAACCGGAGGAAAAGCUCCGGCUAACUCCGUG